Molecule: long non-coding RNA, 517 nt
Organism: Oncorhynchus keta (chum salmon)
Lineage: Eukaryota; Metazoa; Chordata; Actinopteri; Salmoniformes; Salmonidae
Exons: 4
Source: RefSeq, a predicted model, not a curated record
UACUCUGUAAUGGAUGUCAGGGAGGUUUACUCUGUAAUGGAUGUCAGGGAGGUUUACCCUGUAAUGGAGGUCAGGGAGGUUUACUCUGUAAUGGAUGUCAGGGAGGUUUACCCUGUAAUGGAUGUCAGGGAGGUUUACUCUGUAAUGGAGGUCAGGGAGGUUUACUCUGUAAUGGAUGUCAGGGAGGUUUACUCUGUAAUGGAUGUCAGGGAGGUUUACUCUGUAAUGGAUGUCAGGGAGGUUUACUCUGUAAUGGAGGUCAGGGAGGUUUACUCUGUAAUGGAUGUCAGGGAGGUUUACUCUGUAAUGGAGGUCAUGGAGGUUUACUCUGUAAUGGAGGUCAUGGAGGUUUACUCUGUAAUGGAGGUCAGGGAGGUUUACUCUGUAAUGUCAGGGAGGUUUACUCUGUAAUGGAGGUCAGGGAGGUUUACUCUGUAAUGGAGGUCAGGGAGGUUUACUCUGUAAUGGAGGUCAGGGAGGUUUACUAUUUUAUGGAAUGUACAAUGUGUGGUUAAGG